Callithrix jacchus (white-tufted-ear marmoset) is the source of this 1715-nucleotide long non-coding RNA. RefSeq lists it as uncharacterized. The record is from RefSeq and is a predicted model, not a curated record. NCBI's taxonomy places the organism in Eukaryota, Metazoa, Chordata, Mammalia, Primates, Cebidae.
CAGAGGCUUCCAGAAAACAGCUGGGGAGAAGCUGAGUCCCAUCAACAAUUCAAAGGACUGCAGCUCCAGCCAACACUUUGAUGUAAUCUCAUGAGAGAGACUCUGAAUCAGAACCACCUAGGUGUGUCAGAGAAAAAAAUGAGAGACAGACAAGAUCUCACAAGUAUCCUCCGAGUGGGUAUAAAAUGUCCGCUAGGGGGCGAUUCUUCUUGGACACUCUAUUGGCAAGACUAAAUUCUGGGAUCUGCAAUGGCUGCCAUUCCUCGAGUCACAUGCUGUUUAGCUGCCACUGUUGGACUUGACUCUCUGUCCUUGGAUGGACUUUGAAAAUCCCUGGGAAGCUCUUGGAGUCAGAUGAUCAGGCCUCCAUCCCUCUGCCAAAAAGUCUGUUCAACAAAGAUCUCUUCGAGACUGUCCAACAAAUAGUCAAAGGAUGUGAAGCAUGCCAGAAAAACAAUCCUUUGGCACAUUGCAAAGCUCCUCCUGGGGAAAAGCAAGCCUGUCCUUACCCAGAGGAGGACUGGAAAAUGGACUUUUCUCAUAUGUGUAAGUAUCGGGGAUAUCAAUAUCUGCUAGAAUGCGUAGAUACUUACACAAACUGGGUUGAGGCUCUCCCCUGCACAACAGAGAAAGCCGAAGAGGCAAUGGAAGUCCUGAUUAAUGAAAUAAUCCCUAGAGUUCUAUUUUAUUUUAUUUUUAAUUCUUGCAACCUCUGUGCCUCCAAUUUUACUUUUUUAUAAAAUCAGGUUUUAAUGCUUUUCUGACAAAAGUCAAAGGAGUAAUGUGAAAGCAACAUACAUUUUAUUAUUUUAAUGCAUAUAUAAACAUAGUACCAGUUCUCCUGAGUUAACUUUUUUUUUUUUAAUCUUCAAGCAAUGGUGUUUCUAGAAUUUUUUUUAUAGAAGGAGCAAUGAAUAAGCAUUCGGUUUGGACAAGGAUUUGGAGAACUUGUCAUGUGGCUCUAUGUGCAUAUGAAAUACAUCAUCGUAACUCAGAAUGUGAAUUAUAGAACAAACUUGAAACUUAGCAAAAUAUUCUAACAUAUUUUUAUGAUCUCUACUUGCAAUAGGAAACUGUUAGGUUUUCCUAUCAAAGAAUAAGUGCACCGAAACCAAAACAUUCUGCGUGGACAAAAGGGGAUUUGUGGGGCAAGGCUAAAGCCCCCCAAACUUUCCUUAGGAUGAACACAAACCCAAUAUUUUUCUGUUGCUACUGUUCUGUGUUGCAAGGCUCUACUUAAGCAAAAUUUUGAAAAGCAUUGCUACAGUUUGGCUCCUCAUUUCUUACUCACUUUGGAAUAAUGAGGCCCUUUCCAGAUAAAGCAUCUUAAUUAAACAGAUGACAUUUAAACUAGACCUUGAAGAUCAGGUCAGAGUUAUCUUGGGAAAGAGGUAGGAGAGCAAUGCCCAGAAAAUAACAUUCAAAAACAUAAAUGUCUCUGACAACGUGACAAAGGUAGAGAUCAAGGGUAAAUUUUAGUGUGGCAUGGAUUAAUUCACUAACUCAAUAUAUAUAUAUUUAUGUAAAUAGCAUGGAUAAAUACUAGAAAUAAAACAAUGGACUAGACAUGGGCUUGACCUCAUGAUGUUUAGCAAAUAUUGUGUUCCCUAAGGCAGCAGUUCCCAACCUUUUUGGUACUAGGAACUGUUACAUGGGAGACUAUUUUUUUUUUUGGACUGAGAUGGGGGGACUGUUUUUGGGAUAAUUUAAGCAUA